This 163-nucleotide ribosomal RNA is filed under the name uncultured bacterium. RNAcentral's name for it is "partial 16S ribosomal RNA". It matches the Rfam family "Bacterial small subunit ribosomal RNA", at positions 355 to 510 of the family's 1533-position model. The record is from RNAcentral.
UAGGGAAUCUUCCACAAUGGACGAAAGUCUGAUGGAGCAACGCCGCGUGAGUGAAGAAGGGUUUCGGCUCGUAAAACUCUGUUGUUAAAGAAGAACGUGGGUAAGAGUAACUGUUUACCCAGUGACGGUAUUUAACCAGAAAGCCACGGCUAACUACGUCNCA